This 76-nucleotide transfer RNA is filed under the name Candidatus Kaiserbacteria bacterium. RNAcentral's name for it is "tRNA-Ala". The record is from RNAcentral. Lineage: Bacteria; Candidatus Kaiseribacteriota.
UUGCCCUCGCUUCUCGCAGUAGAUCAUCUCGUUUGCAACGAGGAGGUCGCAGGUUCGAAUCCUGUACGGCACACCG